CAGCAGUCGCCGCGGUAAUACGAAGGGGGCUAGCGUUGUUCGGAUUUACUGGGCGUAAAGCGCACGUAGGCGGAUCGAUCAGUCAGGGGUGAAAUCCCAGAGCUCAACUCUGGAACUGCCUUUGAUACUGUCGAUCUGGAGUAUGGAAGAGGUGAGUGGAAUUCCGAGUGUAGAUGUGAAAUUCGUAGAUAUUCGGAGGAACACCAGUGGCGAAGGCGGCUCACUGGUCCAUUACUGACGCUGAGGUGCGAGAGCGUGGGGAGCAAACAGGAUUAGAUACCCCCGUAGUCCCUGUCUCUUAUAC
This 304-nucleotide ribosomal RNA is filed under the name uncultured bacterium. RNAcentral describes it as "partial 16S ribosomal RNA". It matches the Rfam family "Bacterial small subunit ribosomal RNA", at positions 509 to 807 of the family's 1533-position model. The record is from RNAcentral.